CCGACGAUGGAUAGGGGUUCUGAGAGGAAGGUCCCCCACAUUGGUACUGAGACACGGACCAAACUCCUACGGGACGCAGCAGUGAGGAAUAUUGGUCAAUGGGCGUAAGCCUGAACCAGCCAAGUCGCGUGAGGGAUGAAGGCUCUAUGGAUCGUAAACCUCUUUUAUAAGGGAAUAAAGUGUGGGACGUGUCCUAUUUUGUAUGUACCUUAUGAAUAAGGAUCGGCUAACUCCGUGCCAGCAGCCGCGGUAAUACGGAGGAUCCGAGCGUUAUCCGGAUUUAUUGGGUUUAAAGGGUGCGUAGGCGGCCUUUUAAGUCAGCGGUGAAAGUCUGUGGCUCAACCAUAGAAUUGCCGUUGAAACUGGGGGGCUUGAGUAUGUUUGAGGCAGGCGGAAUGCGUGGUGUAGCGGUGAAAUGCUUAGAUAUCACGCAGAACCCCGAUUGCGAAGGCAGCCUGCCAAGCCAUGACUGACGCUGAUGCACGAAAGCGUGGGGAUCAAACAGG
This 506-nucleotide ribosomal RNA is filed under the name uncultured bacterium. RNAcentral's name for it is "bacterial SSU rRNA". It matches the Rfam family "Bacterial small subunit ribosomal RNA", at positions 273 to 776 of the family's 1533-position model. The record is from RNAcentral.